Myodes glareolus (Bank vole) is the source of this 250-nucleotide non-coding RNA. NCBI's taxonomy places the organism in Eukaryota, Metazoa, Chordata, Mammalia, Rodentia, Cricetidae. The record is from RefSeq and is a predicted model, not a curated record.
CAGACCACCGAAGAGGCAACAUGUAAGCUGUCACACUGAGAAAGGUGUGCACAGCAAGUGCAGGAAACUUCUUGAUGAAGACAUCCCAAAAUUCCACCCAAACUGUUUAGCGAGAGAUGCAGAGGAUGCUCUGCCUACGCUAUGAUCAGGACCACCUGCUUCUUGCCAAAGUCACAGGCUGGCUGGACCCCAGGGUGGAUCCAGAUAAAUCUAGAAGAAGAAGAAGAAGAAGAAGAAGAGGAAGAGGAAG